RNAcentral lists this ribosomal RNA (591 nucleotides) under uncultured bacterium. Its description in RNAcentral is "bacterial SSU rRNA". It matches the Rfam family "Bacterial small subunit ribosomal RNA", at positions 338 to 945 of the family's 1533-position model. The record is from RNAcentral.
CCUACGGGAGGCAGCAGUAGGGAAUAUUGGUCAAUGGGCGAAAGCCUGAACCAGCAACGCCGCGUGCGCGAUGAAGGCCUUCGGGUCGUAAAGCGCUUUUGGGAGGGAUGAAAAUGACAGUACCUCCCGAAUAAGGAUCGGCUAACUACGUGCCAGCAGCCGCGGUAAGACGUAGGAUCCAAGCGUUAUCCGGAAUUACUGGGCGUAAAGGGCGUGUAGGAGGUUGGGCAAGUCGGCCAUGAAAGCUCCCGGCUCAACUGGGAGAGGCUGGUCGAUACUGCCUGGCUAGAGGGCAAGAGAGGGAGGUGGAAUUCCCGGUGUAGUGGUGAAAUGCGUAGAUAUCGGGAGGAACACCAGUGGCGAAGGCGGCCUCCUGGCUUGUACCUGACUCUGAAACGUGAAAGCAUGGGUAGCAAACAGGAUUAGAAACCCUGGUAGUCCAUGCCAUAAACGAUGUCAACUGGGUGUCGGCGAAGUAAAAUUUGUCGGUGCCGAAGCUAACGCGUUAAGUUGACCGCCUGAGGACUACGAUCGCAAGNUUAAACUCAAAGGAAUUGACGGNUGAGAGUUGCGAGACGACGACGAGGAGAG